CUCUUCGGGGAUGAUUAAACCGGCGCACGGGUGAGUAACACGUGAGUGACCUGCCUUUUAGACUGGAACAACUUACCGAAAGGUGAGCUAAUGCCGGAUGAGUUAUAUAAGUGCAUGUUUAUAUAGGAAAAGUUGGGGAGACCUGACGCUGAAAGAUGGACUCGCGUCCCAUUAGCUAGUUGGUAGGGUAAUGGCCUACCAAGGCGACGAUGGGUAGCCGGCCUGAGAGGGUGGCCGGCCACACUGGGACUGAGACACGGCCCAGACUCCUACGGGAGGCAGCAGUGGGGAAUUUUGCGCAAUGCUCGUAAGAGUGACGCAGCGACGCCGCGUGAAUGACGAAGGCCUUCGGGUCGUAAAGUUCUUUCGACAGGGAAGAAAAUGCCUAUAAGUAACUGUGUAUGUAUUGACGGUACCUGUAUAAGCAGCCCCGGCUAACUCCGUGCCAGCAGCCGCGGUAAUACGGAGGGGGCGAGCGUUGUUCGGAGUGACUGGGCGUAAAGAGCACGUAGGCGGUGUUGUAAGUCAUUAGUCAAAGACUAGAGCUCAACUUUAGUAAGGCUAGUGAUACUAUAAUACCAGAGUAUCAGAGAGGAUUGCAGAAUUCCUGGUGUAGCGGUGAAAUGCGUAGAUAUCAGGAGGAAUACCGUUAGCGAAGGCGGCAAUCUGGCUGGAAACUGACGCUGAGGUGCGAAAGCGUGGGUAGCAAACAGGAUUAGAUACCCUGGUAGUCCACGCUGUAAACGAUGGAUGCUANGUGUUGGGCUUUUAAGUUCAGUGCCGCAGCNAACGCGAUAAGCAUCCCG
RNAcentral lists this ribosomal RNA (806 nucleotides) under uncultured bacterium. RNAcentral's name for it is "bacterial SSU rRNA". It matches the Rfam family "Bacterial small subunit ribosomal RNA", at positions 76 to 871 of the family's 1533-position model. The record is from RNAcentral.